UACGUAGGGGGCAAGCGUUGUCCGGAAUCAUUGGGCGUAAAGCGCGUGUAGGCGGCUGAGUAAGUCUGCUCUGAAAGCCCGGGGCUCAACCCCGGGAGGCGGGUGGAUACUGCUCAGCUCGAGUCCGGAAGAGGAGUGUGGAAUUCCUGGUGUAGCGGUGAAAUGCGCAGAUAUCAGGAGGAACACCGGUGGCGAAGGCGGGUCUCUGGGUAGUAACUGACGCUGAGGAACGAAAGCGUGGGUAGCGAACAGG
This 253-nucleotide ribosomal RNA is filed under the name uncultured bacterium. RNAcentral describes it as "partial 16S ribosomal RNA". It matches the Rfam family "Bacterial small subunit ribosomal RNA", at positions 524 to 776 of the family's 1533-position model. The record is from RNAcentral.